GACUGUAGAAAGCAGCUACGCUGGAUGGGCUGUUGGGGGCACUCGUGUAGUAGAGAUUUCCGAAUCCUCGGGGACUGGAUGGCGCGCUGACGUACGGAGUGGUGCAAGUGCUGUCGAAGUUGAACUCCGGGGGAGAUAUCGCCAUGACGUCGGUCAUUCUUUUUUUGGUGGUAGCACACUAGACGGCCUCUUUUUCUACUUAUAAUAUCGACCCGACUUGUAAAUUUUGUGGUUAAUUACAGGUAGAUCCAUGAAAUUUCGAUUUAAGGAAGGUGCGUAGGAAGGCUCCGUUUCAUGAAGCUCGUUCGUCCACCCGUUGCCCCGAGUCCCCGAUUGGCGAUUGGUAUGAGAAAAUUGACUACUAUUUAUUUUGUCGGAUUUUGAUAAUUUCAUGUUUUCAACCACAAAAAUAAUUUACGGUUUAUUAAAUUAAUUAAACAAUUCGUGCACGUUUUGCUCCUUGGUUUAUUAAUAGUUUACACUUAUUGUAAGAUGGUAAUGUCAAACUAAUAAUUUUAAAAAUCAUAAUAUCAUAUAUCACACGAGGUAAAACACAACUAGAGUAGCUAGUUGGUAACUAAAUAAAUUAUGUAAAUAAAUGAGAUUAAAAAUAAACGGUUGAAAUUAAACAAUCGUCAUAUAAUAUAUUUUUUUGUAUAACUAAUAUUAACUUCAUUUUAAAGUUAAAUUAUGGAGUUUUGUGGAAUGUUAUUUUUUUUCACG
RNAcentral lists this long non-coding RNA (723 nucleotides) under Zostera marina. RNAcentral's name for it is "long non-coding RNA (ZMAR_LNC004041)". The record is from RNAcentral. Lineage: Eukaryota; Viridiplantae; Streptophyta; Magnoliopsida; Alismatales; Zosteraceae.